GAUGAAGAACGUAGCGAAAUGCGAUAAGUAGUGUGAAUUGCAGAAUUCAGUGAAUCAUCGAAUCUUUGAACGCACAUUGCGGCCAUAGGUAUUCCUUUGGCCAUGCCUGUUCGAGCGUCGUUUACACCCUCAAGCCUAGCUUGGUGUUGGGCGUCUGUCCCGCCGUUUUCGCGCGCGGACUCGCCUCAAAGUCAUUGGCGGCGGUCGUGCCGGCCCCCUCGCGCAGCACAUUUGCGCUUCUCGGAGGCCCGGCGGAUCCGCGCUCCAGCAAGACCUUUCACGACUUGACCUCGGAUCAGGUAGGGAUACCCGCUGAACUUAAGCAUAUCAAUAAGCGGAGGA
Molecule: unclassified non-coding RNA, 342 nt
Filed under: soil metagenome
Description: partial contains 5.8S ribosomal RNA, internal transcribed spacer 2, and large subunit ribosomal RNA
Rfam family: 5.8S ribosomal RNA (bases 1-120)
Source: RNAcentral